RNAcentral lists this ribosomal RNA (301 nucleotides) under uncultured bacterium. Its description in RNAcentral is "partial 16S ribosomal RNA". It matches the Rfam family "Bacterial small subunit ribosomal RNA", at positions 509 to 809 of the family's 1533-position model. The record is from RNAcentral.
CAGUAGCCGCGGUAAGACAGAGGAUGCAAGCGUUAUCCGGAAUGAUUGGGCGUAAAGCGUCUGUAGGUGGCUUUUCAAGUCCGCCGCCAAAUCCCAGGGCUCAACCCUGGACAGGCGGUGGAAACUACCAAGCUGGAGUACGGUAGGGGCAGAGGGAAUUUCCGGUGGAGCGGUGAAAUGCGUAGAUAUAUGGAGGAACACCGGUGGCGAAAGCGGCUCUCUGGCUUGUAACUGACGCUGAGGCUCGAAAGCGUGGGGAGCAAACAGGAUUAGAUACCCCCGUAGUCCCUGUCUCUUAUAA